Molecule: long non-coding RNA, 415 nt
Organism: Myotis myotis
Lineage: Eukaryota; Metazoa; Chordata; Mammalia; Chiroptera; Vespertilionidae
Exons: 4
Source: RefSeq, a predicted model, not a curated record
GCUUUGGAGAAGAGAAAUACAACUGAACAUCUGAGAUAGUCAACAGAACAAAACUCACAAAAUAUUCAGAAGCAUGAAGAGAUGUAGAGUGUACACAAAUGUACAGAACCAAGUACUGAUAUCUGAAGCCUUUCAGAGAUGUGACUCAUGGUUUAAUCCCCCAAGGACCAGAAGCUCUACUUCAAAGAAAAAAGAAAAGUAAGAAAGAGCUGAAGUAUGGGAAUCUUUUCAACUGUUACAACGCUUCAAGGUAUAUUUGUUUUCCAUUCUUCACAAAGGGGAAGCUCAUACAUGGCCAUUGUGAUUUUGCUGACCCAAGGCCCCUACCAAGCUCCAUUUGUUGAGACAGAAUCCCUCAGAUGCAGGACAUCUACUGUUGAAGCAGUUAUCAGCAAGCUUUGGAACCCUCAGUAGA